This 303-nucleotide ribosomal RNA is filed under the name uncultured bacterium. Its description in RNAcentral is "partial 16S ribosomal RNA". It matches the Rfam family "Bacterial small subunit ribosomal RNA", at positions 507 to 809 of the family's 1533-position model. The record is from RNAcentral.
AGCAGUAGCCGCGGGAAUACGUAGGUGGCGAGCGUUGUCCGGAAUCAUUGGGCGUAAAGGGAGCGCAGGCGGGCAUGUAAGUCUUUCUUAAAAGUUCGGGGCUCAACCCCGUGAUGGGAAAGAAACUACAUGUCUUGAGUACAGGAGAGGAAAGCGGAAUUCCCAGUGUAGCGGCGAAAUGCGUAGAUAUUGGGAGGAACACCAGUGGCGAAGGCGGCUUUCUGGACUGCAACUGACGCUGAGGCUCGAAAGCCAGGGGAGCGAACGGGAUUAGAUACCCCAGUAGUCCCUGUCUCUUAUACA